RNAcentral lists this ribosomal RNA (429 nucleotides) under Chloroflexota bacterium. RNAcentral's name for it is "Chloroflexi bacterium partial 16S ribosomal RNA". It matches the Rfam family "Bacterial small subunit ribosomal RNA", at positions 355 to 776 of the family's 1533-position model. The record is from RNAcentral. Lineage: Bacteria; Bacillati; Chloroflexota.
UGGGGAAUAUUGCACAAUGGGCGCAAGCCUGAUGCAGCCAUGCCGCGUGUGUGAAGAAGGCCUUCGGGUUGUAAAGCACUUUCAGCGGGGAGGAAGGCGAUAAGGUUAAUAACCUUGUCGAUUGACGUUACCCGCAGAAGAAGCACCGGCUAACUCCGUGCCAGCAGCCGCGGUAAUACGGAGGGUGCAAGCGUUAAUCGGAAUUACUGGGCGUAAAGCGCACGCAGGCGGUCUGUCAAGUCGGAUGUGAAAUCCCCGGGCUCAACCUGGGAACUGCAUUCGAAACUGGCAGGCUAGAGUCUUGUAGAGGGGGGUAGAAUUCCAGGUGUAGCGGUGAAAUGCGUAGAGAUGUGGAGGAAUACCGGUGGCGAAGGCGGCCCCCUGGACAAAGACUGACGCUCAGGUGCGAAAGCGUGGGGAGCAAACAGG